This 292-nucleotide ribosomal RNA is filed under the name uncultured bacterium. RNAcentral describes it as "partial 16S ribosomal RNA". It matches the Rfam family "Bacterial small subunit ribosomal RNA", at positions 505 to 796 of the family's 1533-position model. The record is from RNAcentral.
GUGUCAGCCGCCGCGGUAAUACAGAGGGUGCGAGCGUUAAUCGGAAUUACUGGGCGUAAAGGGCGCGUAGGCGGUGGGAUGUGUGUGAUGUGAAAGCCCCGGGCUUAACCUGGGAAGUGCAUCGCAGACUAUGUCAAUGGAGUAUAUGAGAGGGUGGCGGAAUUUCCGGUGUAGCGGUGAAAUGCGUAGAGAUCGGAAGGAACGUCAAUGGCGAAGGCAGCCACCUGGCAUAAUACUGACGCUGAGGCGCGAAAGCGUGGGGAGCGAACAGGAUUAGAUACCCGGGUAGUCC